Non-coding RNA from Procambarus clarkii (red swamp crayfish), 235 nucleotides. Lineage: Eukaryota; Metazoa; Arthropoda; Malacostraca; Decapoda; Cambaridae. The record is from RefSeq and is a predicted model, not a curated record.
GUCCCAGAACUGAUGUUCUCCGAUCCUUUGGGGCCUUAAUUCCACAUCCCAGGCCGGUACCGCAGGGGCCCCCUGCCCUACCCAGCAAACCCUAAGGGUAGGCGCAUGCCGUAGAGCGGUCUGUCGGUUUGGUGGCGAGAAGCCGGAUCACGCAGCAACUGCAACACGGAAGAGGGCUCGGGCGACGUCGCGUGAGGACAACAGCGCAGUGGUGUGAGGACGCAGCCGGCCUUCG